RNAcentral lists this ribosomal RNA (762 nucleotides) under uncultured bacterium. RNAcentral describes it as "bacterial SSU rRNA". It matches the Rfam family "Bacterial small subunit ribosomal RNA", at positions 771 to 1532 of the family's 1533-position model. The record is from RNAcentral.
AACAGGAUUAGAUACCCUGGUAGUCCACGCCGUAAACGAUGUCGACUUGGAGGCUGUUCCCUUGAGGAGUGGCUUCCGGAGCUAACGCGUUAAGUCGACCGCCUGGGGAGUACGGCCGCAAGGUUAAAACUCAAAUGAAUUGACGGGGGCCCGCACAAGCGGUGGAGCAUGUGGUUUAAUUCGAUGCAACGCGAAGAACCUUACCUACUCUUGACAUCCAGAGAAUUUAGCAGAGAUGCUUUAGUGCCUUCGGGAACUCUGAGACAGGUGCUGCAUGGCUGUCGUCAGCUCGUGUUGUGAAAUGUUGGGUUAAGUCCCGCAACGAGCGCAACCCUUAUCCUUUGUUGCCAGCGCGUAAUGGCGGGAACUCAAAGGAGACUGCCGGUGAUAAACCGGGGGAAGGUGGGGAUGACGUCAAGUCAUCAUGGCCCUUACGAGUAGGGCUACACACGUGCUACAAUGGCGCAUACAAAGAGAAGCGACCUCGCGAGAGCAAGCGGACCUCAUAAAGUGCGUCGUAGUCCGGAUUGGAGUCUGCAACUCGACUCCAUGAAGUCGGAAUCGCUAGUAAUCGUAAAUCAGAAUGUUACGGUGAAUACGUUCCCGGGCCUUGUACACACCGCCCGUCACACCAUGGGAGUGGGUUGCAAAAGAAGUAGAUAGCUUAACCUUCGGGAGGGCGUUUACCACCUUGUGAUUCAUGACUGGGGUGAAGUCGUAACAAGGUAACCGUAGGGGAACCUGCGGCUGGAUCACCUCCUU